Molecule: ribosomal RNA, 444 nt
Filed under: uncultured Methylocystaceae bacterium
Lineage: Bacteria; Pseudomonadati; Pseudomonadota; Alphaproteobacteria; Hyphomicrobiales; Methylocystaceae
Description: bacterial SSU rRNA
Rfam family: Bacterial small subunit ribosomal RNA
Source: RNAcentral
GCCUACGGGAGGCAGCAGUGGGGAAUAUUGGACAAUGGGCGCAAGCCUGAUCCAGCCAUGCCGCGUGAGUGAUGAAGGCCUUAGGGUUGUAAAGCUCUUUCGGCGGGGAAGAUAAUGACGGUACCCGCAGAAGAAGCCCCGGCUAACUUCGUGCCAGCAGCCGCGGUAAUACGAAGGGGGCUAGCGUUGUUCGGAAUCACUGGGCGUAAAGCGCACGUAGGCGGACAUUUAAGUCAGGGGUGAAAUCCCAGGGCUCAACCCUGGAACUGCCCUUGAUACUGGAUGUCUCGAGUCCGGGAGAGGUGAGUGGAACUCCGAGUGUAGAGGUGAAAUUCGUAGAUAUUCGGAAGAACACCAGUGGCGAAGGCGGCUCACUGGCCCGGUACUGACGCUGAGGUGCGAAAGCGUGGGGAGCAAACAGGAUUAGAUACCCUUGUAGUCGUU